GCAAAAAGGCAAUGGAAGAGUCACGAUCCUACAGAAAGGAGAGGAAGCAGACAAAGAAGAAAACGGGUCGUGGGUCAGGAUCCAGGUCGAUCCAUAUAAAGAUGAGGAAGCUUCGAGUGCUUAUACCGGGUGGACGAAGAUUGAACCAACCGGAUCUGCUUCUAUCAAAGACUGCUGAUUAUAUUAUGCAUUUGGAGUUGAGGAUUAGGUUUCUCAAAGCCAUCUCCGAUAUCUACUCACUCUCCUAAAGUUGAUUCUUGUUUUUUUCAUUCUUCAUCUUCUUUGAUUCUUCUGGUUAAAUCUAAACCAAUUGAUAUCUGUUUUAUAUCACAAACUGUACGUAGAAGAUUUAUUACUUUGUAUGGAGAUUCUCUUACGAUUUAGUGCUGAAGUUUAUUAGUUGGGCCUCCGUUAGCAAAGAUGAUCAUAUAUGGGCCCUUAUAGCCCAUGAAAUGUUACGUAGAUUCUCUCGAAGGGGUGAUGAGUGAUGACAGGCUUUUUCACUAUUUUUUUUUACCGAUUCCAAAUUCCAAUGUUUACAAUCUCGAA
Molecule: small RNA, 549 nt
Filed under: Arabidopsis thaliana (thale cress)
Lineage: Eukaryota; Viridiplantae; Streptophyta; Magnoliopsida; Brassicales; Brassicaceae
Description: putative long intergenic non-coding RNA
Source: RNAcentral